RNAcentral lists this ribosomal RNA (235 nucleotides) under uncultured bacterium. Its description in RNAcentral is "partial 16S ribosomal RNA". It matches the Rfam family "Bacterial small subunit ribosomal RNA", at positions 100 to 334 of the family's 1533-position model. The record is from RNAcentral.
CGGGACGGGUGAGUAAUGCUUGGGUAAGUCUAGCUUAUGGAGGGGGAUAACUACGGGAAACUGUAGCUAAUACCGCGUAAUAUCGAAAGAUUAAAGUGUGGGACCUUCGGGCCACAUGCCAUAGGAUGAGCCCAAGUGGGAUUAGGUAGUUGGUGAGGUAAAGGCUCACCAAGCCGACGAUCUCUAGCUGGUCUGAGAGGAUGACCAGCCACACUGGGACUGAGACACGGCCCAG